GUGAAUUAGGACUUUGAACCAAACAACUAUGUAUAUAUGUGUGUGUGUGUGUGUGUGUGUGUAUAUAUAUAUAUAUAUAUAAAUAUCUGUAUAUAUAUAUAUA
RNAcentral lists this microRNA precursor (103 nucleotides) under Poecilia formosa (Amazon molly). RNAcentral's name for it is "miRNA (ENSPFOG00000021415.1)". Lineage: Eukaryota; Metazoa; Chordata; Actinopteri; Cyprinodontiformes; Poeciliidae. The record is from RNAcentral.